RNAcentral lists this ribosomal RNA (547 nucleotides) under uncultured bacterium. Its description in RNAcentral is "partial 16S ribosomal RNA". It matches the Rfam family "Bacterial small subunit ribosomal RNA", at positions 355 to 889 of the family's 1533-position model. The record is from RNAcentral.
UGGGGAAUAUUGGACAAUGGGCGCAAGCCUGAUCCAGCAAUGCCGCGUGUGUGAAGAAGGCCCUCGGGUUGUAAAGCACUUUUAUCAGGAGCGAAAUCUGCAAGGCUAAUACCCUUGUAGUCUGACGGUACCUGAGGAAUAAGCACCGGCUAACUCCGUGCCAGCAGCCGCGGUAAUACGGAGGGUGCAAGCGUUAAUCGGAAUUACUGGGCGUAAAGCGUGUGUAGGCGGUUUGUUAAGUCUGUUGUGAAAGCCCCGGGCUCAACCUGGGAAUGGCAAUGGAUACUGGCAAGCUAGAGUGUGAUAGAGGAUGGUGGAAUUCCCGGUGUAGCGGUGAAAUGCGUAGAGAUCGGGAGGAACAUCAGUGGCGAAGGCGGCCAUCUGGAUCAACACUGACGCUGAGACACGAAAAGCGUGGGGAGCAAAACAGGAUUAGAUACCCUGGUAGUCCACGCCCUAAAACGAUGCGAACUGGAUGUUGGUCUCAAACUCGGAGAUCAGUGUCGAAGCUAACGCGUUAAGUUCGCCGCCUGGGGAGUACGGUCGC